AGUUCUUCAUAGGACAUCAUAGGAACUUCUUCCAAAAGAUAAGCCAAAAAAAAGCGAGCAGGUUGAGACAGUAGUGAAUGAGGUGGAGAGGGCAGAACAGCCAGAGAGUCAAAGUGCAGCAGCAGCAGAGUCAGCCACAGAUGAGCCAAGGAGGAUAACAGAUGAGAACAACAGGCCAGUGGAGCACUUAGAACAGCAGCAGCCAGGGGAAACUGGUAGGGAAGAGGAUGCUUUAGGUGACCCAGACAUAGGCCUAAAACAAGUUAAGCUACCCCAGUAUCCCCUUGACCGUUUUGGAUUGAACAACUAAAGAGAUGCACCAGACAAGACACAUAUACGCAGCAACAGAAGAGUAAAUGAUGGAGAGACACAAGACAAGACACAAAGAUAGCAACAGAAGAGUAGGAUAUGAUCGAGAGAGACACCAGACAAGACACAUAUAGGUAGCAACAGAAGAGUAAAUGAGGGAGAGACACGAGGCAAGACGCAGAGAUAGCAAACUAAGAAUAGGAUAUGAUGGAGCGAGACACCAGAAGAACGGAACAGGCCAUAACAGAAGAAGGAAGACAAAGAAGACAUUAACAAACAAGAACCUGAGACAGCAAUGGACAAGACACAGAUAAAGUGACAAGAGGGCAGAUGAAGAGAGAACAGAGAACAAAUAACUUCAACAGAGUGGAGGGAGAUGGUAAAUCAGUGGAACGUGAAUGGGAAAACGUCUAUCACAGAUGGUGGUCCUACACUGCCCUCUAGUGUUUUACAGAACAGACAUCUGCUUUACUUCUCAAGAUAAUCCCUUGUUAUACAGUAUAUUAAAGGAUACAGUCCAUGUUUGCCUGUGUAUACAAUACUUUUUUUUUUUAACUAGUAGCAUGUAAUUUAAUGUGUUCCUCCCUUCAUAAGUUUACAUUCCAAACCAAAUGUGGAGUUACGCUUCGAACACACCGACCAUGUCUUUGCAUUGUGUUACACCAGAAUUACAUUAGUUUCCAAUGAAACGCUGCGUUUGCCUUGCAGCAUUGCGUUGCAGAGGCAGUUGCAGUGCGUUCGGUGUGGUGCGUACGUUGGAUUUAUCGAACGUAUGCGUCAAACUGUAUGCGUAAACGACUUGACAGAAAUGGUAGCAGAGGGUGAAUGUUGAACUUUUGUUGCAUACAUAUCCAGAUGAUACUGUGUGCUAAUCAAAUCCAAUCAAAUUGUAUUUGUCACAUACACAUGGUUAGCAGAUGUUAAUGCGAGUGUAGCGAAAUGCUUGUGCUUCUAGUUCCGACAAUGCAGUAAUAACCAACACGUAAUCAAGCUAACAAUUCCAAAACUACUACCUUAUAGACACAAGUGUAAGGGGAUAAAGAAUAUGUACAUAAAGAUAUAUGAAUGAGUGAUGGUACAGAGCGGCAUAGGCAAGAUACAGUAGAUGGUAUUGAGUACAGUAUAUACAUAUGAGAUGAGUAUGUAAACAAAGUGGCAUAGUUAAAGUGGCUAGUGAUACAUGUAUUACAUAAAGAUGCAGUAGAUAAUAUAGAGUACAGGAUAUACGUAUACAUAUGAGAUGAAUAAUGUAGGGUAUGUAAACAUUAUAUUAGGUAGCAUUGUUUAAAGUGGUUAGUGAUAUAUUUUAAAUCAUUUCCCAUCAAUUCCCAUUAUUAAAGUGGCUGGAGUUGAGUCAGUGUGUUGGCAGCAGCCACUCAAUGUUAGUGGUGGCUGUUUAACAGUCUGAUGGCCUUGAGAUAGAAGCUGUUUUUCAGUCUCUCUGUCCCUGCUUUGAUGCACCUGUACUGACCUCGCCUUCUGGAUGAUAGCGGGGUGAACAGGCAGUGGCUCAGGUGGUUGUUGUCCUUGAUGAUCUUUAUGGCCUUCCUGUGACAUCGGGUGGUGUAGGUGUCCUGGAGGGCAGGUAGUUUGCCCCCGGUGAUGCGUUGUGCAGACCUCACUACCCUCUGGAGAGCCUUACGGUUGUGGGCGGAGCAGUUGCCGUACCAGGCGGUGAUACAGCCCGACAGGAUGCUCUCGAUUGUGCAUCUGUAGAAGUUUGUGAGUGCUUUUGGUGACGAGCCGAAUUUCUUCAGCCUCCUGAGGUUGAAGAGGCGCUGCUGCGCCUUCUUCACGAUGCUGUCUGUGUGGGUGGACCAAUUCAGUUUGUCUGUGAUGUGUACGCCGAGGAACUUAAAACUUACUACCCUCUCCACUACUGUUCCAUCGAUGUGGAUAGGGGGGUGUUCCCUUUGCUGUUUCCUGAAGUCCACAAUCAUCUCCUUAGUUUUGUUGACGUUGAGUGUGAGGUUAUUUUCCUAACACCACACUCCGAGGGCCCUCACCUCCUCCCUGUAGGCCGUCUCGUCGUUGACAUGCCGUCUCGUCGUUGUUGAUAAUCAAGCCUACCACUGUUGUGUCGUCCGCAAACUUGAUGAUUGAGUUGGAGGCGUGCGUGGCCACCCAGUCGUGGGUGAAAAGGGAGUACAGGAGAGUGCUAUAUUGCACAAUGAUUCUGUAACCAUAAACAUCUGUAUAUGGGUGCAUAGGCAGUAAAUCAUAAUGCGGUAAUAGUUUUGUUAGGGCUGAGUUUGAAGACUCAGGGGGCCAUAUUGGCACUAGGGGGUGUACAGCUUGCAUUAACAGAAUGCCCUUGCUUGUCCUCCUGAGGCUCAGACAGCUGCCACACAAGUGGAACUUGCAGGGCUGGGAGGGUAGAUAGACAUGCAGGGCAGACUGGCAGGAUAGACAGAGAGACUGGCGUACAAUUUGCUAUCCUUCCCUCGCAGCUGCUCAAUGUUGGUGGCACCAUACAUGGGGCGCAGGGGGUUGAUGAUGUGGUUGUUCCAGCGGAACUUCAUCCCAGUCAACUCAACCAUGUCCGUCUCAGCAUCGAUGAAGAGCUUGUACUGUAGGUUUUAUUAGGUCUCAGGAGGCCACUUUAGGAAAAAGCAGAACAUUUUCAUUCAUUUAGUCAGUUUAGAUUGGGGCAGGGUCAGCCAGUUCUCCUAUGAAUAGAUCUUUUCGUUAUUCAAGUUCAACAGUCUUCCGAAAUCUAAAUGAUUUUAUGGGCUAUGAUGUUGUCACUUACAAUUAUAAGAAUGAAAUAGAAAUGAAACCAUUUAAAACAUGUGUGUGACAUAACAUCUCAACUCGUCUAUAAGCUAGUUUAUAUCAGGAGUAGUCACAUACAGUACAUGUUAACCUGAUACUGGCGGGUGUUGCCAUGCUCUUCAUACAGAGCUAUAUGUUCAUUAUCCCUGGCUGGGAUCUUCUGCCAUCGAUGGUUACAUUUGCUUUAUAGCGGUACCCAGGAAUUUGAAUACAGUGCUUUCGGAAACUAUUCAGACCCAUUGACUUUUUCCACAUUUUGUUACGUUACAGCCUUGUUCUAAAAUGGAUUAAAUAAUUAUUUACAGGCAAAGGGCUCAGCAUCUCCGGUGUUCAGGUAGAACUUCAUAUUGGAUUGUCCCCUGGGGAUGGGGAACGUGUCAACAUAGCGACCCAUAAUGGGACAUGCUUUGUCUGCACAUGGGAAACACCUCUAAAAACACACACACACAGAGAAUUAGGUGAAAUUAAGUCUUCAUGCGGUCAAGGUGUAUACAUUAAUGUUAGACAGUGGAUUUGAUAGGGCAGAGGGACCCGAAUAUAGAAGAUGACCAUAUAUACUGUAUGGUAAGGUAUAGAAAUAUCAUUUGUAGAUGUUUGUACUUGGGGCCAUAGAAUUGAGGCAUUUCAGUUUGAAAAUAAAGAUUAAAGCUUAGUAUUUAUAAACAAUUGCCAUUUGAGGCCAUUCAAGAGGAUUCAAAAGGAUAUAAAAGCAUUGGUCAGCUCAUUUUGCACCUUUCAUAAACCAUUAUAAGUCACUGAGCUGCUGUUAAUAUUCUACUCAAGGUGAAAUGUGAAAAGGGAUCUUUUAUUUUACGACCCAGCGCUUUCAACAUCUUUACGCCUACACUCCGAAGCCUCUCUGUGGGUAAUCAUCUUUUCUUAUUGCAGUUUCUCACCAAGCACAGGUGGCCAGUGGCACCUUAAUUGGGGAGGACGGGCUCAUAGUGAUGGCUGGAACAGAAUAAAUGGAAUGGUAUCCAACACAUCAAACACAUGGUUUCCAUGUGUUUGAUGCCAUUCCAUUCACCCCAUUCCAGCCAUUAUUAAGUGCCGUCCUCCCCUCAGCAGCCUCCUGUGGACUGUCAACGCCCUUGGCUUUUCGAGUGCCCCCAAGCAGAGGGAGAACCCUCUUAAGACUUUUUUCUCUCCUCUUAACUUUUAUGUGUCUUAGAUCACCACCCUAUUAAUAUGUAGAUCAGGAUGACAUCAGUUUAUAGUGUGAGAACAGCAGAGUUUAUGGCUGUCAACUGGGCGAAGGAAUAACACCCAAGGGCGUUUACGAGGUGAACAACAAGGAGGCGUCUGUCGGCCUCUCUGGGGACAUAGUCAUAUGAGGUCAUGCACCACGCUCCCGAGCUGUUUGAUUGGGACGUGACCUAGAGCAGGGAUAAGCUUUCAUUAACGUGGACAGCUGCAGACGCAGGCCCCUCCCAUAGAAAGAAUGGGGGAAGCCUGUCUGCUGUGGUCCUCGCUGAACCCAAUCCCGACGAAUCAACUUUUAAAACCAUAGAAACGGUUCACAGCCGUAUCAAUAUCAUGUACAACAACAGGUGGUACCCCUCCACACACACCCCGAUCAAGAGCUGUCUUUGCAGGCAGCAAUGCACACCCGAAUAAAGUAAACACUUAAAGUAAAAAAACAAUGGCAUGCAUUGAUAUGCAAUGGCUUUCUCGUGGCUUUCUUUUGCAAAAUAACUAUGAAUUAACAGACAUUUAAAUUGUCAACAUACACUGAGUACACCAAACAUUAGGAACACCUUCCUGAUAUUGAGUUGCACCCCCCCUUUUGUCCUCAGAAUAGCCUCAAUUCGUUUGGGCAUGGACGUUACAAGGUGUCGAAAGUGUUCCACAGGGAUUCUGGUCCAUGUUGACUCCAAUGCUUCACACAGUUGUGUCAAGUUGGCUGGAUGGCCUUUGGGUGGUGGACCAUUCUUGAACACGCGGGAAACUUGAAAACCCCAGCAGCGUUGCAGUUCUUGACACAAGCCGAUGCGCCUGGCACCUACUACCAUUCCCCAUUAAAGGCACUUAAAUCUUUUGUCUUGCCCAUUCAUCCUCUGAAUGGCACACAUACAUACUGGCUUACUGGUGCUCUUUCAUGCCAUCCCUAGGAGGGGUGCGUCACUUGAGUGGGUUGAGUCACUGACGUGAUCUUCCUGUCUGGGUUGGCGCACCCCCUUGGGUUGUGCCGUGGCGGAGAUCUUUGUGGGCUAUACUCGGCCUUGUCUCAGGAUGGUAAGUUGGUGGUUGAAGAUAUCACUCUAGUGGUGUGGGGGCUGUGCUUUAGCAAAGUGGGUGGGGUUCUAUCCUGCCUGUCUGGCCCUGUCCGGGGGUAUCAUCGGAUGGGGCCACAGUGUUCCUGACGCCUCCUGUCUCAGCCUUUGUGUCAGGGGGCUAGGGUCAGUUUGUUAUAUCUGGAGUACUUCUCCUGUCUUAUCCGGUGUCCUGUGUGAAUUUAAGUAUGCUCUCUCUAAUUCUCUCUUUCUUUCUCUCUCUCGGAGGACCUGAGCCCUAGGACCAUGCCUCAGGACUACCUGGCAUGAUGACUUCUUGCUUUCCCCAGUCCACCUGGCCCGGGCUGCUGCUCCAGUUUCAACUGUUCUUCCUGCGGCUAUGGAACCCUGACCUGUUCACCGGACGUGCUACCUGUCCCAGACCUGCUGUUUUCAACUCUCUAUAGAGACAGCAGGAGUGGUAGAGAUACUCUUAAUGAUCGGCUAUGAAAAGCCAACUGACAUUUACUCCUGAGGUGCUGACUUGCUGCACCCUCGACAACUACUGUGAUUAUUAUUAUUUGACCAUGCUGGUCAUUUAUGAACAUUUGAACAUCUUGGCCAUGUUCUGUUAUAAUCUCCACCCGGCACAGACAGAAGAGGACUAGCCACCCCUCAUAGCCUGGUUCCUCUCUAGGUUUCUUCCUAGGUUUUGGCCUUUCUUGGGAGUUUUUCCUAGCCACUGUGCUUCUACACCUGCAUUACUUGCUGUUUGGGGUUUUAGGCUGGGUUUUUGUACAGCACUUUGAGAUAUGAGCUGAUGUAAGAAGGGCUAUAUAAAUACAUUUGAUACACAAUCCAUGUCUCAAUUGUCUCAAGGAUUAAAAAUCCUUCUUUAACCGGUCU
Oncorhynchus keta (chum salmon) is the source of this 6203-nucleotide long non-coding RNA. RefSeq lists it as uncharacterized. The transcript is spliced from 3 exons. The record is from RefSeq and is a predicted model, not a curated record. NCBI's taxonomy places the organism in Eukaryota, Metazoa, Chordata, Actinopteri, Salmoniformes, Salmonidae.